UGCCAGGGGAAGCAAUGCAGGAUGCUGU
This 28-nucleotide non-coding RNA is filed under the name Homo sapiens (human). Lineage: Eukaryota; Metazoa; Chordata; Mammalia; Primates; Hominidae. The record is from RNAcentral.